Molecule: transfer RNA, 69 nt
Filed under: Anadara consociata
Lineage: Eukaryota; Metazoa; Mollusca; Bivalvia; Arcoida; Arcidae
Description: tRNA-Tyr
Source: RNAcentral
UGUUUAGAAUGUUAUUGGGCCUCUAUAUAAAAGAGGUGGAAUAAAAAUGAAGUAGGUUUAUUUAAAUAA